RNAcentral lists this ribosomal RNA (465 nucleotides) under uncultured bacterium. RNAcentral describes it as "partial 16S ribosomal RNA". It matches the Rfam family "Bacterial small subunit ribosomal RNA", at positions 28 to 507 of the family's 1533-position model. The record is from RNAcentral.
GACGAACGCUGGCGGCGUGGUUAACACAUGCAAGUCGAACGGAAAGGCCCUGCUUGCAGGGUACUCGAGUGGCGAACGGGUGAGUAACACGUGGGUGAUCUGCCCUGCACUUCGGGAUAAGCCUGGGAAACUGGGUCUAAUACCGGAUAGGAGCCAUUUUUAGUGUGAUGGUUGGAAAGUUUUUUCGGUGUAGGAUGAGCUCGCGGCCUAUCAGCUUGUUGGUGGGGUAAUGGCCUACCAAGGCGGCGACGGGUAGCCGGCCUGAGAGGGUGGACGGCCACAUUGGGACUGAGAUACGGCCCAGACUCCUACGGGAGGCAGCAGUGGGGAAUAUUGCACAAUGGGCGCAAGCCUGAUGCAGCGACGCCGCGUGGGGGAUGACGGCCUUCGGGUUGUAAACUCCUUUCGCUAGGGACGAAGCUUUUUGUGACGGUACCUAGAUAAGAAGCACCGGCUAACUACGUG